RNAcentral lists this ribosomal RNA (495 nucleotides) under uncultured bacterium. RNAcentral describes it as "partial 16S ribosomal RNA". It matches the Rfam family "Bacterial small subunit ribosomal RNA", at positions 30 to 507 of the family's 1533-position model. The record is from RNAcentral.
UGAACGCUGGCGGCGUGCCUAAUACAUGCACGUCGAGCGAACGGACGCGAAGCUUGCUUCUCUGAUGUUAGCGGCGGACGGGUGAGUAACACGUGGAUAACCUACCUAUAAGACUGGGAUAACUUCGGGAAACCGGAGCUAAUACCGGAUGAUAUUUUGAACCGCAUGGUUCAAAAGUGAAAGACGGUCUUGCUGUCACUUAUAGAUGGAUCCGCGCUGCAUUAGCUAGUUGGUAAGGUAACGGCUUACCAAGGCAACGAUGCAUAGCCGACCUGAGAGGGUGAUCGGCCACACUGGAACUGAGACACGGUCCAGACUCCUACGGGAGGCAGCAGUAGGGAAUCUUCCGCAAUGGGCGAAAGCCUGACGGAGCAACGCCGCGUGAGUGAUGAAGGUCUUCGGAUCGUAAAACUCUGUUAUUAGGGAAGAACAUAUGUGUAAGUAACUGUGCACAUCUUGACGGUACCUAAUCAGAAAGCCACGGCUAACUACGUG